This 252-nucleotide unclassified non-coding RNA is filed under the name Funneliformis mosseae. RNAcentral describes it as "partial contains 5.8S ribosomal RNA and internal transcribed spacer 2". The stretch from base 1 to 71 matches the Rfam family "5.8S ribosomal RNA", at positions 84 to 154 of the family's 154-position model. The record is from RNAcentral. Lineage: Eukaryota; Fungi; Glomeromycota; Glomeromycetes; Glomerales; Glomeraceae.
GUGAAUCAUCAAAUUUUUGAACGCAAAUUGCACUCCCUGGUAUUCCGGGGAGUAUGCCUGUUUGAGGGUCGUUAGAACAAAAAUCGAAGCGUCGCUCUUUUUUUUUUAAGGGUGAUCCCGUCGGGAUUUAGCCGUCUUUCAAAUGUUUAUUCAUGUCAAAGUGGCUUAAAAUUCAUCCAUCCGGUAAGAUUAAAGCGUAUUUAAGGACAAUUUUGAUUAAGAACGCGCGAUGAACGUACCCUCUCCUGUAGU